Long non-coding RNA from Odocoileus virginianus texanus, 2350 nucleotides. RefSeq lists it as uncharacterized. The record is from RefSeq and is a predicted model, not a curated record. Lineage: Eukaryota; Metazoa; Chordata; Mammalia; Artiodactyla; Cervidae.
UCACGGAACCACAGUGGAAGCCCCAAACUGCAAUAACUGUAUUGAUCUGCUACAACUCAGGUGGUUUCCAAGACUUCUUAGGAGGGAAAGUACAGAGUGAUGAAUCUCACUUUAGCCUGAGAUAUGCCUCCUUCCUGUUCCCAGUAACAUUUCCUGCUAACUCUAUAUUUACUCUCAAAGUACAAAUACUGCAAAAUGGUGAGGCAGCAAAGAUUCAUUGAAAGACCUCCUGUGCCCCACAAAAUGACACUCUCUUCAUUUUGUAACCUCAUAUACCUACUACUCUAAAACUAUCAGAGUUCCAAAAGAAGGAAACUCAGAUGCUUUCAAAAAGGCAACAAUCUCUAAACCAAGAGUCCUGACCCCUGAUUUCAUCAGUGUUCUUGCAUUUUUGCAAACUUCUCAUUUUCAGGACAGAACGAUUAAGUGAGCAGGGCUGUGAAGAGAAGCCUUUCUGUAGAGGUUUUUCUUCCCUUUUCUUAUUUUGGCUGUGCUGGGUCUUCGUUGCAGGACGUGUGGAAUCGAACCCUAGCCCUUGCACUGGAAAGCAGAUUCUCAAACCCUGGACCACUAGGGAAAUCCCUGGCAAUAGAUUUCAGGAUGGGAGAGUGAAGAUGGGGUAAAUUCUUAUGACGGCAUCACAGAGCUUCAGGAGAGAUACAAUGAGAGUCUGAAAGAAAUGAGUGGUGGUGGGAAUCCACACAUGGAUUGAUUUCCCACGUGUGCCAGGCUUUGUGUUAGGAGUUUGAGUCUCCAUUGCCUUAAAGCAUCCAAGGGUCCCUAAACACCCAGCACACACGUAAAUAACCAUGAUGUUUAUUAACCGCUAAGACUGUAGUAAGAAUAACAUGUCUUCAAAUCAGAAAUUGAGAGAAAACUGAGUCUGGAUUGUCUGAAAGACUUCACAAAGAUGACACGUUUAUGGCUGGAAUCUCACCCAUUCUAGAAGGAGGAAACAGCUUUCCUGGCAGUAUGAGAUAAGAAUAUCUUUGGCAGGCUCAAUACCUGUUGAGUCAUUCAUCCAUUUACUCAUUCAGUCUUUCUUUUGCUCAUUAUUCAUUUAUUCUUCAGGCCUCUGCUGUGUGCCAGGCCCAGUGGGGACAGAAGAGGAAGCGGUGGAUGUCAGGCUGUGACGUUUUGGUGGCAUCCUGACAGUCGCUAGUGAUCAAGCAAAUAUGAUGAUCACAACUUCUACUAAGUAAAAGAGUUCUGACAUAAAAUGAAGUUCAACAGUGGAGGAUGAGGGGAGUUGAUGGCUGACAGCACCUCUGAAGACACCGCUGCAGCCAAGGAGCAGGAUGAGAAUCCUUGGGUGGGAUGCGAAGGGCGAGCAGAGGAGGACCAGGGUCACAGUGUGAGCAGAGAGGACCAGGUCACAGUGUGUGUGAGCAGAGAGGACCAGUCACAGUGUGUGUGAGCAGAGAGGACCAGGAUCACACAGUGUGUGUGAGCAGAGAGGACCAGGUUACUGUGUUUGAGCAGAGAGGACCAGUCACAGUGUGUGUGAGCAGAGAGGACCAGGAUCACACAGUGUGUGUGAGCAGAGAGGACCAGGGUCACACCAUGUGGGCAGGGGAGGACCAGGGUCACACCGUGCAGGCAGAAUGAACCGCACUCAGAGACCAGCAGAUGCGGUGUGCCAGCCUGUUUCCUGGGGCAGAGUCACAAAAAGACAGAGAUCGUCUGUUUUGAAAGGAAAAGGCUGAGACUCAGAAAGAAGAGCAAGGACGACGAGCCCCACCUUCGAUUUCCACUCUACUCUUCUUGGACAGGUCUUCACAGCAAGUUCACAAGGGGACAUUCUUCCUUCUGCUUGGUUCAUCUGAUCAAGUUCUCCCAUAAUAUGCAACUGCACAUUUGCCUAAAAAGCUUUUGCAAAUCUGUCUAACUUGGGACAGCUAUUCUGGGUUAAUCUUGAAAACAUGCUCUGGCAGCAAACUGAUAGAACAUAGCAAAUACUUCUUACAAGAGUAAAUUAUAUAAAGCUGAUGGUUUUCCAAAUAUCCCCACUCUGACCCUCAGUUUAUCUGUUUUAUAUUUACUCACUCAUUCACUCACUUUUCACAGACUCAUUCAACAAUUAUAGGUGAAUCUUAACCCCAAAGUGGGUUACUUUCCUUCAAUUUAUAACACCAUUGUUUGGAAUUGGAAUGCAUCGUUUAAAAUACGGGCAAUGUUACCCAUGCAGACUUGGUCUUGUGUAUUCCAUAAAUCAAUAUCAUAAUGAGAUAAUGAAAAAAUUAUGUCAAUACCCAUAACAAAGCAUAAACUAAAAUGAAUUAUGUUUACUGAUGAAAAAAAGAAGUUUUCUCUUUCUCUUUAAUCUUUUCUUAAACACUCUCUCCUCCUC